This 374-nucleotide ribosomal RNA is filed under the name Nematoda sp. Its description in RNAcentral is "SSU rRNA". It matches the Rfam family "Eukaryotic small subunit ribosomal RNA", at positions 252 to 626 of the family's 1831-position model. The record is from RNAcentral. Lineage: Eukaryota; Metazoa; Nematoda.
CUGAAUAACUACGCAGAUCGCACGGUCUCGUACCGGCGACAUAUCCUUCAAGUGUCUGCCUUAUCAACUGUCGAAGGUAGUUUAUAUGACUACCUUGGUGGUAACGGGUAACGGAGUAUUCGGGUACGACUCCGGAGAGGGAGCCUGAGAAACGGCUACCACAUCCAAGGAAGGCAGCAGGCGCGCAAAUUACCCACUCUCAGCUCGAGGAGGUAGUGACGAAAAAUAACGAGACAGUUCUCUAUGAGGUCUGUCAUCGGAAUGGGUACAAUCUAAACCCUUUAACGAGGAUCAAUUGGAGGGCAAGUCUGGUGCCAGCAGCCGCGGUAAUUCCAGCUCCAAUAGCGUAUACUAAAGUUGUUGCGGUUAAAAAG